Molecule: ribosomal RNA, 433 nt
Filed under: uncultured bacterium
Lineage: Bacteria
Description: partial 16S ribosomal RNA
Rfam family: Bacterial small subunit ribosomal RNA
Source: RNAcentral
AACGAACGCUGGCGGCAUGCCUAACACAUGCAAGUCGAACGAGACCUUCGGGUCUAGUGGCGCACGGGUGCGUAACGCGUGGGAACCUGCCCUUAGGUUCGGAAUAACUCCCCGAAAGGGGUGCUAAUACCGGAUAAUGUCUUCGGACCAAAGAUUUAUCGCCUUUGGAUGGGCCCGCGUUGGAUUAGCUAGUUGGUAGGGUAAAAGCCCACCAAGGCGACGAUCCAUAGCUGGUCUGAGAGGAUGAUCAGCCACACUGGGACUGAGACACGGCCCAGACUCCUACGGGAAGCAGCAGUGGGGAAUAUUGGACAAUGGGCGAAAGCCUGAUCCAGCAAUGCCGCGUGAGUGAUGAAGGCCUUAGGGUUGUAAAGCUCUUUUACCCGGGAUGAUAAUGACAGUACCGGGAGAAUAAGCUCCGGCUAACUCCGUG